Molecule: ribosomal RNA, 116 nt
Filed under: Candidatus Peregrinibacteria bacterium CG_4_10_14_0_2_um_filter_43_11
Lineage: Bacteria; Candidatus Peregrinibacteriota
Source: RNAcentral
CUUGGUGUCUUUGGAGAGUGGGGUACACCUGUUCUCAUCUCGAACACAGCAGUUAAGCCACUCAUCGCCGAUGGUACUGCCCGUCAUGCGGGUGGAAGAGUAGGUCGACGCCAAGA